GAGAAUUACUUGACCUCCAAAUUCCCAAAUCAUUUUUAUUCAUAUAUAAGACUAACAUUUGAAAGAAAGAGCUUAAAAUUGUUUCAAAAUAAACGCCCACUACAAAAGUGACUCUACUGCAGAUUUGAUGGAUAAUUUGAUCAAAGGUUUUAGUAUCACGUUGGACAUUUUCACCUCUUGAAGGCCCUUUAUUAGGCAUUUAGAAGAAGUGUAUAAUGUGCUUCCAUAAGAGCAC
RNAcentral lists this long non-coding RNA (235 nucleotides) under Amborella trichopoda. RNAcentral's name for it is "long non-coding RNA (ATRI_LNC002050)". The record is from RNAcentral. Lineage: Eukaryota; Viridiplantae; Streptophyta; Magnoliopsida; Amborellales; Amborellaceae.